CGGAGGAAAAGAAACCAACAGGGAUUGCCCUAGUAACGGCGAGUGAAGCGGCAACAGCUCAAAUUUGAAAUCUGGCCCUUGGGUCCGAAUUGUAAUUUGUAGAGGAUGAUUUUGGUGCGGUACCUUCCGAGUUCCUUGGAACAGGACGCCUUAGAGGGUGAGAGCCCCGUACGGUUGGAUACCUAGCCUCUGUAAAUCUCCUUCGACGAGUCGAGUAGUUUGGGAAUGCUGCUCUAAAUGGGAGGUAAAUUUCUUCUAAAGCUAAAUACUGGCCAGAGACCGAUAGCGCACAAGUAGAGUGAUCGAAAGAUGAAAAGCACUUUGAAAAGAGGGUUAAAUAGCACGUGAAAUUGUUGAAAGGGAAGGAUUUAUGACCAGACUUUUUCUGGGCAGAUCAUCCGGUGUUCUCACCGGUGCACUUUGCCCAGUUUAGGCCAGCAUCGAUUUCCGGAGGGGGAUAAAAGCUUUAGGAAUGUGGCUCCCUCGGGAGUGUUAUAGCCUAUUGUAUAAUAC
This 513-nucleotide ribosomal RNA is filed under the name Monochaetia sp. PQA12. RNAcentral describes it as "eukaryotic LSU rRNA". It matches the Rfam family "Eukaryotic large subunit ribosomal RNA", at positions 51 to 574 of the family's 3401-position model. Lineage: Eukaryota; Fungi; Ascomycota; Sordariomycetes; Amphisphaeriales; Sporocadaceae. The record is from RNAcentral.